UAGAUUUAUUAGCAUCCAUAUAAAUAUAGUUAAGUAUUAUAUUAUAAAAGGAAGGUAGUUUCGUAAGCGUAAGUGUAAAGAAAAAUAGGGUACCUAAAUGACCACACGUCCGCAAUCACUAUUGUGUUGCUACCUCCUCCAACAAACUUAAGGACAGCUACAAUGUGUAUAAGAAUGGCCCAUAAGCCCUUAUGGCUAGCAAUACAUUGUGAACAUUGGCCAUAAGAUAAUAAUUAUAAAAAUUAGCCUUAAGCUUAGAGCUUGAACUUAAGAAAUAAAAUAACAGAGUAAACACAUGCGUCUGAUAGCUAGUUUAUUCGCCAGAGGUAAAAGUAUGAUUUCCUGCAUUGAUGUGGGACUCAUCCUAACAUCUUUUGAUAAUUAUAAAAUUUUGUUAAUUUGCUAGUUUAACCAUUGUGUUAAUGACAAUAGGUAUUGUGGGGCAUAUCUUAUUUUCACCAAGUUUUUAGGCAUUGUUGAUGCCAUAAAAGUCUAAAAGAAAAGGCUCGUAAAGGUAAUUAGCUGAGGUUGUGCACUCGCAGGCCCAUGUUAUUGAUCUUCUGAUCCCAACUAGAAAGGCCGCACGGCUUUGCCGUGCCCCUCACGGUGCGGUGGGGCGGCGGCGACCCAGCAGCAGGCGGCCGCCGCGGCGGUUCU
RNAcentral lists this long non-coding RNA (657 nucleotides) under Oryza brachyantha (malo sina). RNAcentral describes it as "long non-coding RNA (OBRA_LNC000059)". The record is from RNAcentral. Lineage: Eukaryota; Viridiplantae; Streptophyta; Magnoliopsida; Poales; Poaceae.